AGUGAACGCUGGCGGUAGGCCUAACACAUGCAAGUCGAACGGCAGCACAGUAAGAGCUUGCUCUUACGGGUGGCGAGUGGCGGACGGGUGAGGAAUACAUCGGAAUCUACUUUUUCGUGGGGGAUAACGUAGGGAAACUUACGCUAAUACCGCAUACGACCUACGGGUGAAAGCAGGGGAUCUUCGGACCUUGCGCGAUUGAAUGAGCCGAUGUCGGAUUAGCUAGUUGGCGGGGUAAAGGCCCACCAAGGCGACGAUCCGUAGCUGGUCUGAGAGGAUGAUCAGCCACACUGGAACUGAGACACGGUCCAGGCUCCUACGGGAGGCAGCAGUGGGGAAUAUUGGACAAUGGGCGCAAGCCUUAUCCAGCCAUACCGCGUGGGUGAAGAAGGCCUUCGGGUUGUAAAGCCCUUUUGUUGGGAAAGAAAAGCAGCAGGUUAAUACCCCGCUGUUCUGACGGUACCCAAAGAAUAAGCACCGGCUAACUUCGUG
RNAcentral lists this ribosomal RNA (492 nucleotides) under uncultured bacterium. Its description in RNAcentral is "partial 16S ribosomal RNA". It matches the Rfam family "Bacterial small subunit ribosomal RNA", at positions 29 to 507 of the family's 1533-position model. The record is from RNAcentral.